UUUCGGGGGUACUCGAGCGGCGAACGGGUGAGUAACACGUGAGUAAUCUGCCCUUGGCUUUGGGAUAACCACCGGAAACGGUGGCUAAUACCGGAUACGACAACUCCAGGCAUCUGGUGGUUGUGGAAAGUUUUUUCGGCCAGGGAUGUGCUCGCGGCCUAUCAGCUUGUUGGUGGGGUAAUGGCCUACCAAGGCUUCGACGGGUAGCCGGCCUGAGAGGGUGACCGGCCACACUGGGACUGAGACACGGCCCAGACUCCUACGGGAGGCAGCAGUGGGGAAUAUUGGACAAUGGGCGAAAGCCUGAUCCAGCAACGCCGCGUGAGGGAUGACGGCCUUCGGGUUGUAAACCUCUUUCAGUACCGACGAAGCGCCGAUGAUGGUGGUGACGGUAGGUACAGAAGAAGCACCGGCCAACUACGUGCCAGCAGCCGCGGUAAUACGUAGGGUGCGAGCGUUGUCCGGAAUUAUUGGGCGUAAAGGGCUCGUAGGCGGUUUGUCGCGUCGGGAGUGAAAACACCGGGCUUAACUCGGUGCUUGCUUCCGAUACGGGCAGACUAGAGGCAUGCAGGGGAGAACGGAAUUCCUGGUGUAGCGGUGAAAUGCGCAGAUAUCAGGAGGAACACCGGUGGCGAAGGCGGUUCUC
This 646-nucleotide ribosomal RNA is filed under the name Nocardioides sp. PFW-1. RNAcentral describes it as "bacterial SSU rRNA". It matches the Rfam family "Bacterial small subunit ribosomal RNA", at positions 79 to 729 of the family's 1533-position model. Lineage: Bacteria; Bacillati; Actinomycetota; Actinomycetes; Propionibacteriales; Nocardioidaceae. The record is from RNAcentral.